Malania oleifera is the source of this 429-nucleotide long non-coding RNA. RefSeq lists it as uncharacterized. Lineage: Eukaryota; Viridiplantae; Streptophyta; Magnoliopsida; Santalales; Ximeniaceae. The transcript has 2 exons. The record is from RefSeq and is a predicted model, not a curated record.
UACUCCUUACCCGCUCCAUUUAUUCCCACAUGAUAAACUAGGGUUUUUUUUUUUCUUAGAAAUAAUAGCGAGGUCCCUUCCAGGCGGCGGGUCCUCUAUUAGCACUGUCGCUCUGAAUAGCCAAGGGCUUCGAAGAAGAAAGCAGAACAGUUUGUCACUGUAUCGCCAUGAGAGCUAAGUGGAAGAAGAAGCGCAUGAGGAGGUUGAAGAGGAAGCGCCGAAAGAUGAGGCAGAGAUCCAAGUAGCUGUCUUACCCAGGCUCUUCCAGCGCGAUUUGUUAGUUUUUUCCCCUGUUUUUGGCGUGCGAAACAUUUUACUGGGUUGUUAUGCUAUUGUGUUAGUAGGUUCCAGUUAACUGUGAAUGUGGCUGGAAGUGUUAUUUUGUUGAACUCUACAUAUGCAUUAAUGCCGAAAGGAUUGGUUCAGUAA